UACAGAGGGUGCAAACGUUGUUCGGAAUCACUGGGCGUAAAGCGGGUGUAGGCGGCCUUGCAAGUCGGGUGUGAAAUCCCAAGGCUCAACCUUGGACGUGCACUCGAAACUGCUCGGCUGGAGUCCUGGAGAGGAAGGUGGAAUGCUUGGUGUAGAGGUGAAAUUCGUAGAUAUCAAGCGGAACACCGGUGGCGAAGGCGGCCUUCUGGACAGUGACUGACGCUGAGACCCGAAAGCGUGGGGAGCAAACAGG
Molecule: ribosomal RNA, 253 nt
Filed under: uncultured bacterium
Lineage: Bacteria
Description: partial 16S ribosomal RNA
Rfam family: Bacterial small subunit ribosomal RNA
Source: RNAcentral